UGCUAAUAGUAUUUUUGCAACCAAUUUUGAAAAUACCAAAAGGUAAUUUGACUAAAAGAAACUAUUCACAUUUAUAGGAAAGCAUUUUGCAGUAAUUAUAUCAUCCUCAAGAAUACGAACAUAGAAUUCCCAUGCACAUGUAUUGCAUGGAACCAUUUUGGUUCUUUCACCAAUAUUUAUUACAAUUGAUCACAAGUUAGCCAAUGAAUUUGACAAAUUAUCCAUGUUCCUGAAAAUUUUCAUGCAGUAAUUGCAUCAAUCUCAGUUGCACUGAGUAAAUAUUGUCCUUGUUUGCAUAUUGUAAGAGAAUAAGUUUGCAUUUGCCAAAAAACUGACUACAACAGUGAAAAUGGAAGAAAAUAGCCUAAAUGAAACGUCAAUGAAGCUUUUUAUAAAUUCUUUACAUGCAAGCAUCCGCUCAAUAUGCUAAAUCAAAGCAUA
Molecule: unclassified non-coding RNA, 441 nt
Filed under: Hevea brasiliensis (rubber tree)
Lineage: Eukaryota; Viridiplantae; Streptophyta; Magnoliopsida; Malpighiales; Euphorbiaceae
Source: RNAcentral